GAUCAGGGCUUGAUAUUCUGGGAAUGUUCCUGAUCAAAGUCUGUCGAUUCAUUUGUCACUCCAGCAAAUUGCACUUGUCUUUUCAGAGAACCAGUUCUGGUUUGAGACCACAGUGAAGAUGAUGAGCAUAAAAAAACCUCCUCCAACCAGACAAGACAUAGAGAGAAUCUCAAAGAGACCUUUGAGGAAAAGAGGAAAAAAAUCAACGAAUCUCUUCCCACGUGACGGUGACUGUCUUUACACCAAUGUUUUCUACCUUGGUUAGAGGACCUUUUGAUGGGACUGAGAAGA
This is a long non-coding RNA of Chinchilla lanigera (long-tailed chinchilla), 291 nucleotides long. RefSeq lists it as uncharacterized. The transcript has 4 exons. The record is from RefSeq and is a predicted model, not a curated record. NCBI's taxonomy places the organism in Eukaryota, Metazoa, Chordata, Mammalia, Rodentia, Chinchillidae.